AUGCAGGAGCUCCUCGCUGGCCGCGUUCAUGCCGCUGACCUCCGAUCGCAUGGUCAACGUCCUGACGAGCGAAGCGAGCUGCGUCCAGCGCUUGUAGUCUUGUACUACCUGGAGGCGCAGGCCAUCUCCCGGCUCCGAGAGAUGGCGAGCCAACAAGAAGGAGACGGCCGCGCUACGCGGGUCCAGGCGGUGUCCGCGUACAUGUGGAAGACCCUAGCUUCCGUGGUUGGGGCGGCUGACACGCGCUGCCGCAUGGGCUGGUGGGUGGACGGGCGGCGUCGACUCACGGCGCCAGAGCACCGCGCCCUCGCGACGAGCAGCUAUGUGGGCAACGUGUCCAUCUUCGUCUUGGGAGAGGACAGCGUGGAGGAGAUCCAGCGGAAGCCUCUGCCGGAGGUGGCGUCCAUGGUGCGCGAACUGAUCAAUGCGCGCGCGUACGACGACCGCUUCCAGGAGAUGGUUGACUGGGUGGAGCACCACAAGUCCGGCGCCACCUACAUGGACGCGUCCAACAUCGGGUUGGGCUACCCGACGAUGGUUGUGACGGCCUUCACCUCGUUUCCGAUGGACACUGACUUAGGCUUCGGCCACGCGGCAAAUGGCGAUGACGACAACGCGCGGCAGGGGGCUAUGCUCGGGGUUCGUACAGAUGGUGGCUACGCCUUGUUGAGUCAACCAUGGUCUUCGGUGAACAUGCAGCUGCAUGCAUGCAGCACCAGCGGCAGCCAGGAAGUGGUAGUUACUAGUAGUUUUCUAGUAGUACGCUUAGAUGGUGCAAGGAACUUACCUAAAGGUUUCCCUUGUAGUAUAUGGUAG
This 816-nucleotide ribosomal RNA is filed under the name Triticum aestivum (bread wheat). RNAcentral's name for it is "partial small subunit ribosomal RNA". Lineage: Eukaryota; Viridiplantae; Streptophyta; Magnoliopsida; Poales; Poaceae. The record is from RNAcentral.